UGCGCCAUCGCCAAGCGGUAAGGCAGAGGACUUUGACUCCUCCAUCACAGGUUCGACCCCUGUUGGCGCAA
This 71-nucleotide transfer RNA is filed under the name Bacteriophage sp. RNAcentral describes it as "tRNA-Gln". It matches the Rfam family "tRNA". Rfam says of the family: Transfer RNA (tRNA) molecules are approximately 80 nucleotides in length. Their secondary structure includes four short double-helical elements and three loops (D, anti-codon, and T loops). The record is from RNAcentral. RNAcentral also lists the same sequence under 6 other names.